AAAAAUAUUAAACCGGAAAAAAAAAUUGAAGGGAUCGAUCGCUACUUAUGGAAGCAGAGAGAUCCUAUCAUCGAACUGCUGAAAAAGAUGAUGUAAGACUAUUAGUCACACCUCAUUUGGUAUCGUCCUGUUUCUUUCAAACUUCUUCAUGGGCAUGCAUGUGUGUGUUUAUAAGGAAGGUUCUUAAUCAAGCUUAUAUGUAAUUACUUUGAUGCAUUUAUAAGACUUUCAUAUCUUAAAAAUAUUAUAUACAUUUUGGAGUACAUGAUGAUACAAAAAUUGACGGCUUUUGAAGGAAGGGUAAGUCCCUAAUGUUUAAGCUAAUGGAAACUCCAUUGAACUCAAAAUAUUAGUGUUCUUGAUUUAUUUAGGUUAAGCUGUAUGGGGUUCUUGAUUUUGAAGAAUUCAAGAACAUGAUGCUGCUUUCAAAAUCUUGAUUCAUUUUUCUGUAAAUAUAAGAUUCUGAUGAAGUUUGAGGGUUCCUGCGAUCAGCUUUCAACUCAUCGUCGGGUCAAAUUUUUGUUGCUUUUAGUUUCCCAAUUAAUUUCUUUCUCAAUAUGAUGGGUUCCUG
Molecule: long non-coding RNA, 571 nt
Filed under: Citrus sinensis (sweet orange)
Lineage: Eukaryota; Viridiplantae; Streptophyta; Magnoliopsida; Sapindales; Rutaceae
Description: long non-coding RNA (CSIN_LNC002403)
Source: RNAcentral